GUACCCUACGGGGGGCAGCAGUCGGGAAUAUUGCGCAAUGGAGGAAACUCUGACGCAGUGACGCCGCGUAUAGGAAGAAGGUUUUCGGAUUGUAAACUAUUGUCGUUAGGGAAGAUACAAGACAGUACCUAAGGAGGAAGCCCCGGCUAACUAUGUGCCAGCAGCCGCGGUAAUACAUAGGGGGCAAGCGUUAUCCGGAUUUAUUGGGUUUAAAGGGUGCGUAGGCGGUUUUUUAAGUUAGUGGUUAAACGUCGGGGCUUCACCUUGAUUUGCCAUUAAUACUGUAAGACUCGAGUUCAGACGAG
This 305-nucleotide ribosomal RNA is filed under the name uncultured bacterium. RNAcentral's name for it is "bacterial SSU rRNA". It matches the Rfam family "Bacterial small subunit ribosomal RNA", at positions 334 to 656 of the family's 1533-position model. The record is from RNAcentral.